GGGAAAAAAAAUGAUAGUACCUUACUAUAAGUGUUGUCCAAUUAACUGGUGCCAGAAGACUCGGUAACGCCAGAAACGCAAACGUUAGUCGUCCUAAUCAGGCGUAAAGGGUAAGUAGGCUGCUUUUAAAGCUAGAAUCAAAUAGAGGAUAAGCCAAAUAAUAUUUAGAGUAGGGGUGAAAUCCUUAGAUACUAAAUGGAAUACUAAAGGUGAAAACAUUUAUCUAAAAUUGAUUGACGCUGAGGAACGAAGGUGAGAAUAGAAAAUAGGAUUUGAGACCCAGAUAUCUCUCACUGUCAACGAUGAAUGGUGGUUGUUAGUUCUAGUAACGAUGUUAACGCGAUAACCAUUCCGCCUUGCGAGUACGGUUGCAAAACUGAAACCAAAAAAAUUAGU
Molecule: ribosomal RNA, 396 nt
Filed under: Coprinopsis sp. C192
Lineage: Eukaryota; Fungi; Basidiomycota; Agaricomycetes; Agaricales; Psathyrellaceae
Description: SSU rRNA
Rfam family: Bacterial small subunit ribosomal RNA
Source: RNAcentral